UGCAGCAACAACCGUCACAUUAGCACCAAUCUUCGCCAACAAAAGCGCCGUCUCCACACAAUGUUGCAAGUCCGGAUGAAGGUCUGUUGUGUAUUGGAAUCAAUUUUGAGGAAAAAGGAUGAUGAGCAUUUAUCCAUUAUAGCAUGUUAUUUUAGUGAGAGGAGAGAAUCUGUGGUUAAAUGCUCUGACGUACCUCAAGUUUCUUUGAGAGAAAAGACAAACAAAUCUUUUGGAUUGGGACAAGAUUUUUGGAACAGGGAACCAGGUGGAGCAAUCUAACGCAAGAACCAUGCCAGUUCCAGCUGUUCAGGUGCCCAACUUAAUCGAUACAAGUGAUGCAAAUGAUUAGGGAACUGAAUCUUUAACACAGAAGCAUGUUGACCAAGAUAUUGGAAACCUGACAACAUCUGGUUCUUUGGUUGAUGAUUUGUUUGGAGA
Molecule: long non-coding RNA, 438 nt
Organism: Asparagus officinalis (garden asparagus)
Lineage: Eukaryota; Viridiplantae; Streptophyta; Magnoliopsida; Asparagales; Asparagaceae
Exons: 3
Source: RefSeq, a predicted model, not a curated record